AGAUGUUGGGUUAAGUUCCGCAACGAGCGCAACCCUCGUCACUAGUUACUAACGGUUCGGCCGAGGACUCUAGUGAGACUGCCUUCGCAAGGAGGAGGAAGGUGAGGACGACGUCAAGUCAUCAUGGCCCUUACGGCUAGGGCAACACACGUGCUACAAUGGCCAGGACAGUGAGACGCGAUACCGCGAGGUGGAGCAAAUCUAUAAACCUGGUCUCAGUUCGGAUUGUAGUCUGCAACUCGACUACAUGAAGCUGGAAUCACUAGUAAUCGUAGAUCAGCAAUGCUACGGUGAAUACGUUCCCGGGUCUUGUACUCACCGCCCGUCACACCAUGGGAGUUGAUUUCACCCGAAAUCGGGAAGCCAACCUUCGGGGGGCUACCGCUUACGGUGGAAUUAGCGACUGGGGUGAAGUCGUAACAAGGUAACC
RNAcentral lists this ribosomal RNA (430 nucleotides) under endosymbiont of Alviniconcha sp. RNAcentral's name for it is "bacterial SSU rRNA". It matches the Rfam family "Bacterial small subunit ribosomal RNA", at positions 1070 to 1501 of the family's 1533-position model. The record is from RNAcentral.